GACGAACGCUGGCGGCGUGCCUAAUACAUGCAAGUAGAACGCUGAAGGAGGAGCUUGCUUCUCUGGAUGAGUUGCGAACGGGUGAGUAACGCGUAGGUAACCUUCCUGGUAGCGGGGGAUAACUAUUGGAAACGAUAGCUAAUACCGCAUAAUAGCAGUUGUUGCAUGACAACUGUUUGAAAGGUGCAAUUGCACCACUACCAGAUGGACCUGCGUUGUAUUAGCUAGUUGGUGGGGUAACGGCUCACCAAGGCGACGAUACAUAGCCGACCGGAGAGGGUGAUAGGCCACACUGGGAGUGAGACACGGCCCAGACUACUAAGGGAGGCAGCAGUAGGGAAUCUGCGGCAAUGGACGGAAGUCUGACAGAGCAACGCGGCGUGAGUGAAGAAGGUGUUCGGAGCGUAAAGAUCUGUUGUAAGAGAAGAACGAGUGUGAGAGGGGAAAGUGCACAUUGUGACGGUAUCUGAACAGAAAGGGACGGCUAACUACGUG
RNAcentral lists this ribosomal RNA (495 nucleotides) under uncultured bacterium. Its description in RNAcentral is "partial 16S ribosomal RNA". It matches the Rfam family "Bacterial small subunit ribosomal RNA", at positions 28 to 507 of the family's 1533-position model. The record is from RNAcentral.